This is a long non-coding RNA of Daphnia pulex (common water flea), 465 nucleotides long. RefSeq lists it as uncharacterized. NCBI's taxonomy places the organism in Eukaryota, Metazoa, Arthropoda, Branchiopoda, Diplostraca, Daphniidae. The record is from RefSeq and is a predicted model, not a curated record. The transcript is spliced from 2 exons.
ACUAAAUAUGGAAAACUAUUUACAUUGAUUAUAGAUUAAUAUGGCAAACAGUACGGCAACGGAUGUUGGUCACAUUGCCAAAUUUGACGGCUCGAAUUUCCCGUCCUGGAAAUACGGUGUGUGGAUGCUCCUUGAGAAGAAUAGGCUGAUUUCUAUAGUUGAUGGGAGUGAGAGACUGCCCGAGCAGGUUCGGAAUGAAGCCGGGGCAGUACAGAACUAUAAUACAAUUGAUGACUGGAAGCAAAAAGACGUCGAGGCCAGAACACUCAUCUACUCGACAAUGAAGCCAGAGAAACAAACAACACUCCAAAGCUGUACAACAGCAUUCGAAAUGUGGAGCAGAAUCCAAACGGAAUAUGACUUAGUCUCAGCUGAAAGUGAACCCCUUCUGUGGGGUCAGUUCUAUGGCUACAGAUUUCGGGCAGGUAAAAACAAUUGAUGGAAUAAAAAAAAUUUGUGAUACGA